CCUACGGGAGGCAGCAGUGAGGAAUAUUGGUCAAUGGGCGCGAGCCUGAACCAGCCAAGUAGCGUGAAGGAUGACUGCCCUACGGGUUGUAAACUUCUUUUAUAAAGGAAUAAAGUGAGGCACGUGUGCCUUUUUGUAUGUACUUUAUGAAUAAGGAUCGGCUAACUCCGUGCCAGCAGCCGCGGUAUACGGGGGAUGCGAGGGGUUUUCGGAUUUAUUGGGGUUAAAGGGGGCGCAGGAGGAAGGGGCCAGUCAGAGGUAAAAUUGCGGGGCUCAACCCCGCCGUGCCGUUGAAACUGCUCUUCUAGAGUGGGCGAGAAGUAUGCGGAAUGCGUGGUGUAGCGGUGAAAUGCAUAGAUAUCACGCAGAACUCCGAUUGCGAAGGCAGCAUACCGGCGCCCAACUGACGCUCAUGCACGAAAGCGUGGGUAUCGAACAGGAUUAGAUACCCUAGUAGUC
Molecule: ribosomal RNA, 459 nt
Filed under: uncultured bacterium
Lineage: Bacteria
Description: partial 16S ribosomal RNA
Rfam family: Bacterial small subunit ribosomal RNA
Source: RNAcentral